RNAcentral lists this ribosomal RNA (471 nucleotides) under uncultured bacterium. RNAcentral describes it as "bacterial SSU rRNA". It matches the Rfam family "Bacterial small subunit ribosomal RNA", at positions 335 to 795 of the family's 1533-position model. The record is from RNAcentral.
ACUCCUACGGGAGGCAGCAGUGGGGAAUAUUGCACAAUGGGCGCAAGCCUGAUGCAGCCAUGCCGCGUGUGUGAAGAAGGCCUUCGGGUUGUAAAGCACUUUCAGUUGUGAGGAAGGUGGUGUCGUUAAUAGCGGCAUCAUUUGACGUUAGCAACAGAAGAAGCACCGGCUAACUCCGUGCCAGCAGCCGCGGUAAUACGGAGGGUGCGAGCGUUAUCCGGAUUUAUUGGGUUUAAAGGGUCCGUAGGCGGAUUAAUAAGUCAGUGGUGAAAUCCCAUCGCUUAACGAUGGAACUGCCAUUGAUACUGUUAGUCUUGAAUGAGGGUGCAGUGGUUGGAAUGUGUAGUGUAGCGGUGAAAUGCAUAGAUAUUACACAGAACACCGAUUGCGAAGGCAGAUCACUAACCCUAAAUUGACGCUGAGGGACGAAAGCGUGGGGAGCGAACAGGAUUAGAUACCCUGUAGACUGUC